UACAGAGGUGGCAAGCGUUGUUCGGAAUUACUGGGCGUAAAGGGCGCGUAGGCGGUCUUGUAAGUCCUGUGUGAAAUCCCUCGGCUUAACCGGGGAACUGCGUCUGAUACUGGAUGGCUUGAGUUUGGGAGAGGGAUGCGGAAUUCCAGGUGUAGCGGUGAAAUGCGUAGAUAUCUGGAGGAACACCGGUGGCGAAGGCGGCAUCCUGGACCAACACUGACGCUGAGUGAGCGAAAGCCAGGGGAGCAAACGGG
Molecule: ribosomal RNA, 254 nt
Filed under: uncultured bacterium
Lineage: Bacteria
Description: partial 16S ribosomal RNA
Rfam family: Bacterial small subunit ribosomal RNA
Source: RNAcentral